GUCUUCGUGGAGCAAGGACGCUCGUUCCCUUUACAUAGAAACAGGCAAUACAAACAUGUACAUUUGGGAAAGCUGGUGGUUCGAGUCCACCCGAAGACA
Mycena rosella is the source of this 99-nucleotide non-coding RNA. Lineage: Eukaryota; Fungi; Basidiomycota; Agaricomycetes; Agaricales; Mycenaceae. The record is from the annotation of a GenBank genome assembly.